UUACCAAGCACCACAGCCGGCAUCACGCUACACUGCGGAGCACGGGUUCUUUACCUGUGACCCUGCGUGGACAGGCAGCUGCAGCUCUCCGUCUGUCAUCUUGAGACUACGACACCAUGUAUCUCUAACCUGGGAAAAGACCAGAAUUUGAAAUUCAAAGUAUGAUUUCCACUGAAUGCAUAGUGCUUUUGCAUCAUUGUAGAAUGAUAAAAAAAAAAAUCACCAAUUGAGGGCCAUCUGUACACGAAGAAAGGUAUCUGGGGCCACUGCCUGGAAAAGCACUUACCUGGAGCCUACUUCCCCCAUUUCCUCACCCUUCCACGGAAGUGUGGGCUGCAUUCCUUGCUCCUCAGGCCCUGGAGCACCAGGCCCCUGCAGGUCCACCGCAGGCAGGGUUUGUCCUACUGUGCUAGCUACGGCCUGCCUCCCGGACGUGGCCCACCUUGGUCACGAGUGCACGUGGCAUAGCCCUGAGCGCUCCAUUCUGCUCUCAGCUCAGCUCUGACACUGCAGGCUCCCACCUGACCUUGCCCUGCUGCAUGCAGCCUCCUUCCCGGGUGCCUUGGAUGGGGCUUCUAACGCCUGGGGCUCCUGGCAGCAAUCCCCGCCAGACUGCCCUGAGGGCCCAGGGGCUCAAUAGCUCACAGCACAUCUGUAACUGAUUCCUGGCCUUCCUGAGUGUCUGGCACCGCUGUGAGCAGCUUUGAAUUAAGUCAAGCUUCUUAAUUAUGUAGCCCAAAUUUUCUAAAUUUUUACUAAUUUUUUAUGUGCCGGAUCACUCCUUUCCUGUCUUGUAACUUUUAUUACUUAAGCUAUCCUUUCUUGAAAUCCUAAUUUCAUCAUUAUUUAUUAUGCUAAUCAGCUGUCUUGAGCUCUCAGAUCUGUUUCCUGCCCUCUUAUUCUGCUCUAUACUGUGGGCAACUAACUACAUUCACAGACCCUUCUGAUGCCCAAGUGAAGUUGGUCACUGGAAGACACUGGGAGGGGACUAGAGGCCUCCUGUGGUGUCUCCAGUGGUGGCCCUGUCUCCUCAGUGACUCCAGCUCAGGUCAUGUUUCAGCUUGCCCACUGGCCUGGCUCUGAGCCCCGCUCCACCAGUCCAGGGAUCCGAGCAGUGUCCUGCUGUUUUUAAUGUCUGGAUUGUCUCUCUGUCCUCUCUUUGACUUCUUUGUGCUUACAUGAUCCACAUAUGCAAUUAAAUUCCCUCUGUCAAAAGGACUUACCAUGAUUUCUAGUUCAGGGAUGGAUACUGACUGAUAGAUAAUAUUAUUACCAUUAUAGUAAUAAUUAUUGAUCUUAUUUUCUACUUUCAGUUGUAAUAUAAGUCUACUCCUAUGUUUUCUAAUUGCUUUGGUCACCUUUGAUUUUUGCUUUCAGUUUAUUUAUCUUUGCUGAGAGUUUUCUUCUUUGUACAGUGUAGGCUUUGUAUUUGUGAAGUCUGUGUUUUGGAAAACUUAACACCUUCAGAACUUACAAUUACAGCCCCUGACUUAUGAGAGUCAGACUUAAAGUUUUCUGACUCUGCAAUGGUGUGACAGUGAUAUGCAUUCAGGAGAAACUGUACUUUGAAUUUUGGAUUUUGUGUUACCCUUUAUACAUGCAUGAUUACAUGUCCUGUGUGAUUCGGCACCAUGUGCAGCUAGAGAAAUGAGAAGUUGUGCUGUAUUUGCGUACCAUGCGUCAAAAUUGCAUUCUACUGUCAUGUUUAACUAAUUAGAACAAAUAUUUUAAAAUUUUUGAAUUUUGGUCUCUUCCCUGGCUAGCACUGUGCUUUGUGCUAUAAGCUAUAAUAUUUGGUAAGUUAUGUGCAUUAACUGCAUUUUUGACUUAGGAUAUUUUAAAUUUACAAUGGGCUUGUCAGAUGUAACUUCAUUGUUAAGUCAAAGAAUGUCUGUACAGCUUUUUGUCAUUUAUUUCAUAUCUCAAUGCAGGAGGAAAUGAAAAGACCAAUAGGGCAGAGGCCAGGACUACCUACUGCGCUUCCAUUCCAUACUAAUUUAAUUUUAAGUUUAAUUAUUGUUACACGUUCUCUUUUAUAUAGGAAAAUAAGGUUCCUCCCUCCCCACUACUCACACUCCAUCCCUUCCAGGAAUUGCUUUGGCAUCUACAGGUCAGCAAACUGAAAAAGAAUCAAAAUUUCAGGCUGAAAAGAAGUGUACAUACAAAAAGAGAUUCAGAUAUGCAUUUUAAAAGAAGGAGAUUCUUAUGUUCAGAAAAAAAAAAAUAGGGGAAUGAGACCUUGAAGGCCUGUGAGAAGGUCAGGGUGGGUUUUUAAGGCUUUAGAACAUUAGGACAUUUUUCUCAGUUGAGUCUUAACUUUCAGAAAGGGUGAUGUACAGCUGGGUUAGGUGUGGAGGGACUGAGUUCAUCUCAUGGUCUUUUCUCUUUUUUUCCCACGUAUUUAUUUUACCCUCAUCUUUUUACUGCGAAUUGAACUCAGGGAUGCUCUACCACUGGGCUACAGCCCCAGCCCUUUUUAUUUUUUGCUUUGUGGCAGGGUUUCACUAAGUUACCCAGGCUGGCCUUGAAAUCGUGAUCCCCCUGCCUCACCUUCCCAACAGCUGUGGUGACAGCCUGGGGCCAUCAAACCCACCUGCCCAGUUUGCCCUGACCCUUGAAUCAGAGUUAGGUAGUGCAGUGGACUGAACUGUGUCCUCUAGAAUUCACAGGGCAGAGCUCUAUCCCUCAGUGUACUUGGGGAGAGGGUCUUUAAAGAGACAAGUUUCCAUAAUGUCACAAGGGUGGGCCCUAAUCCAACAUGAUUAGUGCCUUAUAAGAGGGAGAGACCCCAGGGACGUGGGCAGACACAGGAAAGGCCAGUGUGGACACGGCGAGAAGGAGGCUGUCUGCAGGUGAAGGAGAGAGGCCCCAGGGAAACCAAGCCUGAGGACAUUUUUGACUUCUAGAUUCCAGAACUGUGAGAAAAUAAAUGUCUGCUCUUCAAACCACCCAGUUUAUGGUAUUGGGUCAUGGCAGCCUGAUUAACAAAUACAGCUGGGUGCAGAACUCUAACUGAAUGUCUUUGUGCAGUGCUCUGAGGUGUUGUUCUUUGAAGUUCUGCAGUGUAUCUCUGUGCCUUUUGGGUAAUGCCUAAAAUCUGUUUUCUAGUUAUGAAUUCUUUUGCUUUAUCUAAUGUACUAUUUAAGCCAUCCAUUUAAGUUUUUAAUUUCCUUUACGUAUCCCAAUGGGAUGGGGUCAUUUUUACCUAGACUGCUCUCUCCACAUAGGGUACAGGCCUUCAGCAGGGCUAGCCUUCUGUGCAAGGUUCUCAUCCAGGGCCAGUGCUUCCCUCAUGUCCCUAUGUGGGCAUGAAAUUCCAAGCCCUCAGGUGGAAAGAAUCAGUGGUCACCUCUCCACCACCUCGCUGUAGCUGGUCGACUAGUCGACCUUUGGCACGUUGUUCUAUUUUCAAUUUUCUGUUUCUGGAGGCUGGGUCUUUCUUUCUUGAAAGCUUAACUAUGAAACAUCACAUGGUACCCCAAUUAACUAAAUAAUUUUUAUGGAUUUAUUUGUUAAAUUUUUUUUCUUAAUAUAUUUGUGGUUGUUGAUAGACCUUUAUUUAUUUAUACACGGUGCUGAGAAUCCAACCCAGUGCCUCACACAUGCCAGGCAAGUGUGGCAUGAACCACAGCCACAGCCACAGCCCUGAAAUUUUUUAAAUGCAAUUUAUGCAGGAUAAAUAAAUAUGAGGUAGAUCAUAUGGCAUUUGGUUUGGUUUCUUUGCUAAUAACAAAUUAUCUCAUAUUAAAAUAAAUAUAUAUCAAACAUCUUAAAUUUGUAUUUAAUCAAGCAUUUCUGUUUUUAAAGCAGUAUUUUUCUUAGUCUUCCACUUACUAAAACAGAAAAUCUUGAGUAACACUUGAUAAUGAGAAGAAGAAGAAAAAAAAGCCUCAUUAUUAGUUUUUGAAAGAGAAAGACAAUUUAAGUUGUUCUGGGGCCAAAGAAAACUACCAGAAAAUUCCUUCUUGAUUCUUAAACAGCACUGAGAAGCCAGAUAGGACAAGGACAAGGUGGGCUCCUGGAAGUCCGUGAGGAGCAGCUUACCUUACCAAAGGACUGAGCUCAGUCCUUGGAAGCCGGACUGGCAUUUUCCAUCAUCUAAUUGAAGCUCGGAUGAAUUAUUGUUGAAGGACAAAGGAUACAAGGGCAGUUGGAUCUUGUGUGUGUGUGGGGGGGCGGGGGGUAUAAUCAGAAAGUUCUAAGAGUCAGAAUGAGAGACUGAGGCCUGGGAUUUUGCAGUCAGAUUUAUAGAAGGCUAUUUAAGGACCACAGGCACCUACAUGAGUGACCCCACUGCCCCGGGGUGGAUGGAGGCUUCUCGUAUCCUUCCUAGGGUAACGCGAGGCUUCGAGUAAUAUCUGCAAGUGUUUGGGAUUGCUAAAGAGCUGCCCUACAGGAUCCACGGGGUCUUGCCCUUCUCCAACCAUUCAAUAAAUAGCACUCAGCGGAGAUUCUGGCUGAGGAUACUUGUUUUCAAAACAACAGCCCUGAGCCAACCUCCUUAAGCAGUUCCAUAUGUUUCUAUGGAGAGUUUAUGGAUUGUGGCCUCCGGAAUUCUUUUGUUUAUCACUGGGAAUCCAAGUCCUGAAAGCUGCUAACUAACCAUGAGGUUUUUCUGGUUAUACAAGUCGUUGGACCUCUUAAGGACUUUGACAUGAGGACCACUUUCUGUGGAAUAAGAAUUAGUGGUUUAAAAAGAGUGCAUUUAGCAGUAUCAGUCAAGUAUCAGUUUCUGAAUGUUGUUACUGGCUGGGCCUUUACUUUUUUGCUUUCUAUUAUUAUUAUUAUUUUUUAAACUGGACUGUGCUGCCUUAUGUAUAUUCUUAAAUGAGGCCCUUAAAGGGAAACCAGAGCAAAGUCUUCAAAGAGGAAUUUUUUUUUUUUAAUGAACAAAUAUGUUGGGCACACCUGAGAAGACAGAAAGACGGGUCCUUUCCUGCCUGGGGCUGAAAGGCACAGCUCCUCAAAACACUAAGGACUCAUUCCUUCCCUGGGCAAUGAGUCCCCUCCCCUGGGCAAUGACUCCUCCCCUCCCCCAUCCAAGCCCAGUGAGCAGAGCUGCUCCUCUGCCCUUGCCAAUCCCAUGCCCAACACAUGGCGGAUCUAUCCUGUUUCCAGGAAAGAGGUUUCCGUGGAAUGCUUCAUCAGCCUUAAUCAUAGCUACUAUUUACUGGGCACUUUGUGCCAAGUACUGUAGUCUUUUUAUAUUUGAUCUCUUUUAAUCCUCUUCUCACACUAGCCCAGUGAGGUGGGUACUGUAAUCAUCUCUCUUUUUACAGAUAAAGAAAUCGAAGCUCAGCGUUUUGAGCAAUUUGCCUGAAGUUCCUUAAUAGCUGCAUUAGCCUACUACUUUAAUUUUUGCUACCAGUGGCAGAGUUGGGAUGUGAAUUCAGGCUGCCUGAUGUGAAGCUGUUCUCCGCCAGGCUGUCCCCCUCCCCCUGUCUCCCAGGAAGGGACUUCUGCCCUGAAGGCUCAGCCUCUGCCGCUCUCCUAGCUUGGAAACACUACUGUUCUUUUAAAAUGUCGUUUGUGUUGCUUUUCCUGCUGUUUCACAUACAGCAGUGCAGAAGAGGGGCUGGUCAUCUCCCGAUAAAACAAUCCUUCACACAUGUGAGCACCAUCCGCAGCUGAUGACAUCUGGCUUCUCCAGAGCGUGAAUGACGUGCCAGCACCCCGGGUUGACACCCUUGGAAGGCCUGGGUGCCCGCUGCCCAGGCUGACGAGUGACUCAGCAGAGAGCACACCAUGCUGCGUUUGGUCUCCACAGAUGAGUCAGCCCUGACGAAUGGCCAGCUCCAGUGUGGCCCCCUGACGUUUUAACAGAAUAUUAAUUGCCCUGUCACUUCCUGUUCCACACAGCUGGGUGGGAUUGCUACCAGCCACACUGUGGAGCAGCUACAUAGUUCAGCCCAGCCCAGAAAGGUUUCCUGUGGUGGGUGAGAUGACAACAUGCACAAGGGUCAGACUCCAGAUGUGGGAAUCUGGACUUUCCUUCUCUUGGGGAAAAACAUCGCCUCGUUAUCAUCUCAGAAGGUUUUCAGUACAGAUUCAGGGCCAACGUCUGCAGAAAGAGCCCAGCUUCUCUCACCGGGAGGGCACCAAUGUGGUCCAUGUGAAGGUCCCCGAGGCUCUGAGGCCACCUACCCCAGAGCCCAGGGACCAGGGGCCAGGGGAGAGUGUUUAGGCAUGAAUGAGGGGAGCCAGAUCUAACGUGCUCCUUGAUGGUGGAAGUCAUUUCAAGAAGAGGAGCAAGUUAUUUCCUGGAUCGAGGGCCUGCAGCUGGUGGGAAGAGCACACAGCGGCCGGGUGGGGAGUUUCCCUUCAUUCUUUCAUUCACUCAUUCAUUCAUCUGUUCUUUCUUCCCACAGACCUUCACCUCAGGCUGCAGAACUCACUCACAGUAUAUUCAGAGGGGAGAAGAAAAUGCGACUUCAUUUUUCUUUAUUGGUUGAUACAAUGUUCCUCCCAAGUCUGUCCCUGGACUCCAGGGUUAAAUUGUAGCCUGACGUUGUAAACUUAGUCCAUUGGGCUCCAGGUGGACACUGGGUUUCCUUUCGGCUUUCCAAUGUCCCCUCCUUCCCUCUGCUCCUAGGCAGGUUCUGAGCAUAUAUGUGCCCGGUGGAUGGAAUCCUCUCUCAGACGUUGUGUGAUGCUGUCAGCUGGGAAGGUCCUGGCCCCCCUCGCUGGCCUGUGUGGCAGAGCGGUUCCCACAGGGAACCAGGGAAGUCUGUGAUGUUCCUUGAGGUGCUGGCAUCCAUCGCCGGAGAGCAUGGCUCCAGGGCUUGGUCUUUAUGCCCCAGUGAGGCUAAGGAAGGCGCUGGCUUGGUUCUGACUGCAGGCCCCGCUGCUCCUCCAGUACUUUCUAUGAGGGAAAAAGAGAAAGAAAGGAGCUUUCAGGUGAGAAGACGUGUCAGUGAGCUUCUGCUGCAGUGAUGCUGUGUAACAAACCACCACUGAUACUCAGGAGCUUAAAUACAUAUUUAUUUAGCUAAAUCAGCAAUAAAUAUUUAUUUAGUUCAGGGUGGGCAAUCUUUUUUUCUGUAAAGUGCCAAACAGUAAAUCUUUCAGGCUUUCCAAACCAUACAGUUUGAACUUUGUCCACAAAAGCAGCCAUAGGCCACAUGUGAAUAAAUAAAUGUCACUAUGUUACAAUAAAACUAUAUUGAUGGACAAUGAAAU
RNAcentral lists this long non-coding RNA (7179 nucleotides) under Marmota monax (woodchuck). Lineage: Eukaryota; Metazoa; Chordata; Mammalia; Rodentia; Sciuridae. The record is from RNAcentral.